Molecule: ribosomal RNA, 397 nt
Filed under: uncultured bacterium
Lineage: Bacteria
Description: partial 16S ribosomal RNA
Rfam family: Bacterial small subunit ribosomal RNA
Source: RNAcentral
AUACGUAGGUGACAAGCGUUAUCCGGAUUUACUGGGCGUAAAGGGCGUGUAGGCGGUCUUGCAAGUCAGAAGUGAAAUUCCUGAGCUCAACUCGGGCGCUGCUUCUGAAACUGCAGGACUUGAGUGCUGGAGGGGAUAGCGGAAUUCCUAGUGGAGCGGUAAAAUGCGCAGAUAUUAGGAAGAACACCGGUGGCGAAGGCGGCUAUCUGGACAGUAACUGACGCUGAGGCGCGAAAGCGUGGGGAGCAAACAGGAUUAGAUACCCUGUAAGUCCACGCCGUAAACGAUGAAUACUAGGUGUAGGGGGUAUCGACUCCCUCUGUGCCGCAGUUAACACAAUAAGUAUUCCGCCUGGGGAGUACGGACGCAAGGUUGAAACUCAAAGGAAUUGACGGGG